CAGUGGGUAGGACUCUGUUUAAUCUGUUCUAUUCUGUAUACUGUAACUGAGAUAGGCUAAGGCCCUAAUAUAUAUAUGUUUGACUCUGCAUCUAAAUAGGCUAAGGCCUACACUGAUUUCUGUAAGGGGCCAGGCCCAGAUUGAUUAUGGUUAUGAUUUGAUAUAUGACUGUAUACAUGUUUACUGGGCGGAUUACACACUAAGUUGC
Molecule: long non-coding RNA, 208 nt
Filed under: Gossypium barbadense (sea-island cotton)
Lineage: Eukaryota; Viridiplantae; Streptophyta; Magnoliopsida; Malvales; Malvaceae
Description: long non-coding RNA (GBAR_LNC006344)
Source: RNAcentral